UACGUAGGGUGCGAGCGUUGUCCGGAAUUAUUGGGCGUAAAGAGCUCGUAGGCGGCUUGUCGCGUCGGAUGUGAAAGCCCGGGGCUUAACUCCGGGUCUGCAUUCGAUACGGGCAGGCUAGAGUUCGGUAGGGGAGAUCGGAAUUCCUGGUGUAGCGGUGAAAUGCGUAGAUAUCUGGAGGAACACCGGUGGCGAAGGCGGCAUCCUGGACCGAGAUUGACGCUGAGGCGCGAAAGCCAGGGGAGCAAACGGG
This 253-nucleotide ribosomal RNA is filed under the name uncultured bacterium. Its description in RNAcentral is "partial 16S ribosomal RNA". It matches the Rfam family "Bacterial small subunit ribosomal RNA", at positions 524 to 776 of the family's 1533-position model. The record is from RNAcentral.